CUACGGGGAGGCAGCAGUAGGGAAUCUUCGGCAAUGGGGGCAACCCUGACCGAGCACGCCGCGUGAGUGAAGAAGGUUUUCGGAUCGUAAAGCUCUGUUGUAAGUCAAGAACGGGUGUGAGAGUGGAAAGUUCACACUGUGACGGUAGCUUACCAGAAAGGGACGGCUAACUACGUGCCAGCAGCCGCGGUAAUACGUAGGUCCCGAGCGUUGUCCGGAUUUAUUGGGCGUAAAGCGAGCGCAGGCGGUUUGAUAAGUCUGAAGUUAAAGGCUGUGGCUCAACCAUAGUUCGCUUUGGAAACUGUCAAACUUGAGUGCAGAAGGGGAGAGUGGAAUUCCAUGUGUAGCGGUGAAAUGCGUAGAUAUAUGGAGGAACACCGGUGGCGAAAGCGGCUCUCUGGUCUGUAACUGACGCUGAGGCUCGAAAGCGUGGGGAGCGAACAGGAUUAGAUACCCUGGGUAGU
RNAcentral lists this ribosomal RNA (464 nucleotides) under Streptococcus thermophilus. Its description in RNAcentral is "bacterial SSU rRNA". It matches the Rfam family "Bacterial small subunit ribosomal RNA", at positions 339 to 794 of the family's 1533-position model. Lineage: Bacteria; Bacillati; Bacillota; Bacilli; Lactobacillales; Streptococcaceae. The record is from RNAcentral.